RNAcentral lists this ribosomal RNA (407 nucleotides) under uncultured bacterium. RNAcentral's name for it is "partial 16S ribosomal RNA". It matches the Rfam family "Bacterial small subunit ribosomal RNA", at positions 28 to 526 of the family's 1533-position model. The record is from RNAcentral.
GACGAACGCUGGCGGCGUGCCUAAUACAUGCAAGUAGGACGCAGUUGCGAACGGGUGAGUAACGCGUAGGUAACUGCCUAUCAGAGGGGGAUAACUAUUGGAAACGAUAGCUAAUACCGCAUAUUAGUAGAUGGACCUGCGUUGUAUUUGCUAGUAGGUUGGGUAAUGGCCUACCUAGGCGACGAUACAUAGCCCACCUUGGGAGGGGGUCGGCCCCACUGGGACUGGUGAACGGCCCAGACUCCUCCGGGGGGCAGCAGUAGGGAAUCUUCGGCAAUGGGGUGAACCCUGACCGAGCAACGCCGCGUGAGUGCAGAAGGUUUUCGGAUCGUAAAGCUCUGUUGUUAAGGAAGCGGUACUUAACCAGAAAGGGACGGCUAACUACGUGCCAGCAGCCGCGGUAAUUC